UAAGCGGUUGAAGGUGUGUGGUAACGCAUGCUGGACGUAUCAGAAGUGCGAAUGCUGACAUGAGUAACGAUAAAGGGGGUGAAAAACCUCCUCGCCGGAAGACCAAGGGUUCCUGUCCAACGUUAAUCGGGGCAGGGUAAGUCGACCCCUAAGGCGAGGCCGAAAGGCGUAGUCGAUGGGAAACGGGUUAAUAUUCCCGUACUUCUUACAAUUGCGAUGG
This 220-nucleotide ribosomal RNA is filed under the name Vibrio parahaemolyticus. RNAcentral describes it as "partial 23S ribosomal RNA". It matches the Rfam family "Bacterial large subunit ribosomal RNA", at positions 1243 to 1467 of the family's 2925-position model. The record is from RNAcentral. Lineage: Bacteria; Pseudomonadati; Pseudomonadota; Gammaproteobacteria; Vibrionales; Vibrionaceae.